UACAGAGGUCUCAAGCGUUGUUCGGCUUCAUUGGGCGUAAAGGGUGCGUAGGCGGCGCUGUAAGUCGGGUGUGAAAUCCCGAGGCUUAACCUCAGAAUUGCUUUCGAUACUGCAGUGCUUGAGGACUGGAGAGGAGACUGGAAUUCAUGGUGUAGCAGUGAAAUGCGUAGAGAUCAGGAGGAAGACCAGUGGCGAAGGCGGGUCUCUGGACAGUUCCUGACACUGAGGCACGAAGGCCAGGGGAGCAAACGGG
Molecule: ribosomal RNA, 253 nt
Filed under: uncultured bacterium
Lineage: Bacteria
Description: partial 16S ribosomal RNA
Rfam family: Bacterial small subunit ribosomal RNA
Source: RNAcentral